CAAGUCGAGCGGAUUUUUGGGAGCUUGCUCCCAAAAUCAGCGGCGGACGGGUGAGUAACACGUGGGCAACCUGCCUGUAAGACUGGGAUAACUUCGGGAAACCGGAGCUAAUACCGGAUAGGUUCUUCCCUCACAUGAGGGAAGAUGGAAAGACGGUUUCGGCUGUCACUUACAGAUGGGCCCGCGGCGCAUUAGCUAGUUGGUGAGGUAACGGCUCACCAAGGCGACGAUGCGUAGCCGACCUGAGAGGGUGAUCGGCCACACUGGGACUGAGACACGGCCCAGACUCCUACGGGAGGCAGCAGUAGGGAAUCUUCCGCAAUGGACGAAAGUCUGACGGAGCAACGCCGCGUGAGCGAAGAAGGCCUUCGGGUCGUAAAGCUCUGUUA
This 389-nucleotide ribosomal RNA is filed under the name Bacillus sp. CSeA0_41. Its description in RNAcentral is "bacterial SSU rRNA". It matches the Rfam family "Bacterial small subunit ribosomal RNA", at positions 58 to 438 of the family's 1533-position model. Lineage: Bacteria; Bacillati; Bacillota; Bacilli; Caryophanales; Bacillaceae. The record is from RNAcentral.